RNAcentral lists this ribosomal RNA (511 nucleotides) under uncultured bacterium. RNAcentral's name for it is "bacterial SSU rRNA". It matches the Rfam family "Bacterial small subunit ribosomal RNA", at positions 501 to 1014 of the family's 1533-position model. The record is from RNAcentral.
CUACGUGCCAGCAGCCGCGGUAAUACGGAAGGUCCGGGCGUUAUCCGGAUUUAUUGGGUUUAAAGGGAGCGUAGGCUGGAGAUUAAGUGUGUUGUGAAAUGUAGACGCUCAACGUCUGACUUGCAGCGCAUACUGGUUUCCUUGAGUACGCACAACGUUGGCGGAAUUCGUCGUGUAGCGGUGAAAUGCUUAGAUAUGACGAAGAACUCCGAUUGCGAAGGCAGCUGACGGGAGCGCAACUGACGCUGAAGCUCGAAGGUGCGGGUAUCGAACAGGAUUAGAUACCCUGGUAGUCCGCACAGUAAACGAUGGAUGCCCGCUGUUGGUACCUGGUAUCAGCGGCUAAGCGAAAGCAUUAAGCAUCCCACCUGGGGAGUACGCCGGCAACGGUGAAACUCAAAGGAAUUGACGGGGGCCCGCACAAGCGGAGGAACAUGUGGUUUAAUUCGAUGAUACGCGAGGAACCUUACCCGGGCUUGAAUUGCAGAGGAAGGAUUUAGAGAUAAUGACG